UCAGAAAAAGGAAAUUCUUCCUAUCUUUAAUCUCCAAAAUUAAUAUUUUUUAAACUAUUUUCUG
RNAcentral lists this transfer RNA (64 nucleotides) under Euwallacea fornicatus. RNAcentral describes it as "tRNA-Pro". Lineage: Eukaryota; Metazoa; Arthropoda; Insecta; Coleoptera; Curculionidae. The record is from RNAcentral.